CCUACGUGAGGCAGCAGUGAGGAAUAUUGGUCAAUGGCCGGAAGGCUGAACCAGCCAAGCCGCGUGAAGGACGAAGGUGCCAAGCAUUGUAAACUUCUUUUGUCAAGGGACAAAAUCAGGCUCGAGAGCCUGACCGAGGGUACUUGAAGAAAAAGCAUCGGCAAACUCCGGGCCAGCAGCCGCGGUAAUACGGAGGAGGCGAGCGUUAUCCGGAUUUAUUGGGGUUAAAGGGGGCGUAGGCGGGCUGGUAAGUCAGCGGUAAAAGCCCGGGGCUCAACCCCGGCGAGCCGUUGAAACUGGCUGUCUUGAGAUGUCGAGAGGUAUGCGGAAUGCGCAGGGUAGCGGUGAAAUGCUUAGAUAUUGCGCAGAACUCCGAUUGCGAAGGCGGCCUGCUGGACUGCAACUGACGUUGAGGCCCGAAAGCGUGGGGAGCAAACAGGAUUAGAUACCCGGGUAGUC
RNAcentral lists this ribosomal RNA (459 nucleotides) under uncultured bacterium. RNAcentral's name for it is "partial 16S ribosomal RNA". It matches the Rfam family "Bacterial small subunit ribosomal RNA", at positions 338 to 795 of the family's 1533-position model. The record is from RNAcentral.